This 497-nucleotide ribosomal RNA is filed under the name uncultured bacterium. RNAcentral's name for it is "partial 16S ribosomal RNA". It matches the Rfam family "Bacterial small subunit ribosomal RNA", at positions 28 to 507 of the family's 1533-position model. The record is from RNAcentral.
GAUGAACGCUGGCGGCGUGCCUAAUACAUGCAAGUCGAGCGAACAGACGCGGAGCUUGCUCCUCUGACGUUAGGCGCGGACGUGUGAGAAACACGAGUAACACCUCCCUAUAAUACUGGGAUAACUUCGGGAAUCCGGCUCUAAUACCGGAGAAUAUCUUGCACCGUGGUGUGCAAUAGUGAGUGACGGUUUUGCUGUCACUUAUCGAGGGUUCCCCGCCGCAUUGGCUAGUUGGUAAGGUCACGGCUUAUCAAGGCUACGAUGCGUGGCCGACCUGAGAGGGUGAUCGGCCGCACUGGAACUGAGACACGGUCCAGACUCCUACGGGAGGCAGCAGUAGGGAAUCGUCCGCAAUGGGCGGAAGCCUGACGGAGCGACGCCGCGUGAGUGAUGAAGGUCUUCGGAUCGUAAAACUCUGUUAUUAGGGAAGAACCAAUGUGUAAGUAACUAUGCACGUCUUGACGGUACCUAAUAAGAAAGCAACGGCUAACUACGUG